This is a non-coding RNA of Camelina sativa (false flax), 6053 nucleotides long. NCBI's taxonomy places the organism in Eukaryota, Viridiplantae, Streptophyta, Magnoliopsida, Brassicales, Brassicaceae. The record is from RefSeq and is a predicted model, not a curated record.
GGACGUUAACCAAGCUUGUGGCCAAUUUUAUAACAACACAGUCUGGUGCAGGCCGUGUCCUUGCUUGUCAUCUUCAUUCCGUCCGAGACAGUCUAUGGGCUACUUUGAUCAUGUUUAUGGCCAGCCUGUGAUACUUCAUUACAAUUAAUAAGGCCAUACUCUCUGAUGAUUUGGUGGUAGUUUCACUUCAUGUUGGUAGUGUCGCGCGAGGGCUCGUCCCAUAAUCUUUCACAAUGCUUCAGAGCUGGCUUGUACGUAUGCCUUGGCCAGUUGCUUCAAAGCUUGCUGCUGAUACUCCUCUACUUACUGGGCAGCGUGUCCUUGAUGCCCUUUCCCCUUCAGUUUGUGGUGGAACCUGCGCCAUUCCUGGUGCUUCUGGCUGUGGGAAAAUUGUUAUCAGUUAUGCACUUUCCAAGGUAAUGAACUUAUCAGGUGAUGCUAAAGGGAAGGACCGUCUGACGACACUCAAGUCAGAAUAUUUCUUUCUAUCUGGGUAUAGAGCUUGGGAGAAUCAAGAUUAAACGUUUUGCUGAUGCUGGGAUCUAUGCUCAGCUGCAAGAGAGUGCUCAAGGACGUGAAUCUGUUGCAGCCAACCUUGUUGCAGAUUUGACAUUGCAGGUGAGUUAUAAGUUUGUAAUGGUGGACGACAUGAUUGACACAGAAGGACCUAAAGUCGCAGCUGCAAGAGUUAAUUAUGGAACAGCAGGACCAUAUGAUGAAACUCACAAGUCAGAAUAUUUCUUGCUAUAUGGGUUUGGAGCUUGGGAAAAUCAAGAUUAAACGUUUUGGUGAUGCUGAGAUUUAAGCUCAGCUGCAAGAGAGUGCUCAAGGACGUGAAUCUGUUGCAGCCAACCUUGUUGCAGAUUUGACAUUGCAGGUGAGUUAUAAGUCUGUAAUGGUGGACGACAUGAUUGACACAGAAGCAAUGCAGGACCUAAAGUCGCAGCUGCAAGAGUUAAUUAUGGAACAGCAGGACCAUAUGAUGAAACUCACAAGUCAGAAUAUUUCUUGCUAUAUGGGUUUGGAGCUUGGGAAAAUCAAGAUUAAACGUUUUGGUGAUGCUGAGAUUUAAGCUCAGCUGCAAGAGAGUGACGUGAAUCUAUUGCAGCUAAGCUUGUAGCAAAUAUAACACAGCUUGGUGCAGACCGUGUCGAUCAUGUUCAUGGCCAGCAUGCUUUCAUGUAAUAAGGCCAUAUCCUCUGAUCUUUUGGUGGUAGUUUCACCUCGGGGAAGAGACUUCUCAGAUCCUGUGACUUUUGCAACCCUUAGUAUUGUGCAGGUCCCUCGGGUUUGGACAAAAAGCUUGCCCAGAGAAAACAAUUUCUUCUCCGGUUUGCCCCCAUUCUUCUUCGGUUCGAUUUCCUUUCUCAAGUGCAACGCACCAGAUCCGUACAAGUUCGACAGCGGAACCUUCGGUUUCCACCUGCUUACAGGAAAUGAAAAGAGUCAAAUCCAAGAAAAACAACUCUAUAUAAAGAAGCUGCUUGCAAUGGGAAGCUGCUUGUGAUAAGAAUCCUUGAAAGGAGAAUCAGAGAGGCAUCAACACAUACCUCAACAAGUUCGUGUUCUUCUAAAUCUUAACCAUCUUGUGGAUCGGAGGACAAGACAAGGUCUUUUUAACACCGAUCUUUCUCAAUCCAAAACUAGCAACUCCGCUCCACAAGACAAGACAAGGUCUUUUUAACACCCAAGUUUCCCGAGCUCGACCUGUGAAAAGACAGAUAGUAGGAAGGCAGUGCAUCUAGGUUCACCGAGAUCUCGACAGCUCCAGAUUUGCCUGCACCACAAAGAAGUACACCACAUCUGCUAGAGUUUUCUGGAAUUUAAUCUUCAAGCAAUGGAAAGGGCUAACAAACAUCCAUAAACAUCUUCAAUAGCUUCACCGCCUCACUAUACUGAACUAAGGAGGCUUGUAGCCCUGUGAACAAAAAGGGAAACGAGUAUUGCUCUAACCUGCUUCAAGAUCCUUAAUUUGAAUUCACUCACGACUCCUGCCAGCGGCAAUUUGAAUUCACUCACGACUCCUGCCAGUGGCUUGAAUGAAUGCUUGACUACAAUGUACGUGGCGGGAAGCUCAAUCGUGGUCUCUCCAUGGUUGAUAGCUACAAGCUGUUCAAGCCAAGCCAAGACUUGACCGAUUAAGGGACUUUCAUUUUGUGUGCUCUCAGGUGGUGCAUUGAAUGGGUUCUAGGAGCCAACAUAUGAGGAUUGUCUGGACCUGAUUGCUCGUGUUCCUGUUGUAGCUGCGUAUGUUUAUCGCAGGAUGUACAAGAAUGGUGAUUCUAUCCCCUCAGAUACAUCUUUGGAUUAUGGUUGUUCUAGGAUAUGGACACCAUCUUCUGCGCAAAACUGAUCCAAGGGCAAAAGAGAGUUUGCCUUGAAGCAUUUACCUGAUGACGCUCUUUUUCCAGCUGGGGUCAAAGCUUUACGAAGUUGUGCCACCCUGUUCUCACCGAGCUUGGAAAGGUGAAGAACCCGUGACCAAGUGUUGAUGCUCACAGUGGGGUCUUGCUGGACUACUAUGGUCGAACCGAAGCAAGGUACUACACCGUUAUCUUUCGUGUUUGAAGGAGUCGUGGCAUCUGCUCUCAGGUAUAUCUAUAUACUUUACACAAUGAGUAAAUUAAGAAGAAAAAAAUAAAUCAUUAGAAGGCAUUGAACGACAAAUAAUUUAACUGUCCAACUAACAAAUAGUAUCAAACCGGUUAUUCGAUCAAAAGCUUGUACUUUUAACGAAUUAGCCAGAAAAUUUGAAUUCGAAUGAAGAGAAACCAAAGUGUAUCAUUUCAUCCCCAUUGUCUAAUUGGGCUCCUUCACUGUAUCCACCUGAAACACACAAAACCUCAGAUUUACGCUACAGUGUGCAUCAGAUUAGAGUUAUGAAUAGAGGACACAAACCUCAUUGAGGUGUUGAGCAGACUUGGAGGUUAUAUAAGUGAUACGUGUGUAUCACUUCUAAUGUUUUUGUGAUUAGUGGAUUUAAAAAAAAACCGUCUUUCAGUCCUAAAGAACAAAUAAAAAGAACUAAUGCCCUUUCAUCAAAGUGUAUAGUUCCAACCAGAAAGGCUCUUCACUUGGUUAUAAUCAGUUCCAACCAGAAAGAGCGAGACAGACAGCGAGCGAGCGAGAGGGUAUGAUUAUAAUGGUAUGUGUUCGUGUUCUAACCAGGACGAUGAUGUAUUUGACUCAGUAACUAACAACAUUAAACUGAUUAGAAGAACCAAAAAGGUAAGCUUAUGGGUUUGAAGAGUGAAGAAAAUUCAGAACCAAAAAAGAUUCUGGCCUAUGAAGAGAGCCAAAUGGAGUCACGGCCUGUGAAGAGAGGUAGUCAAGAAGCAGGUAUGCAUAAAUUGGAUGUGUUUGAAAAGCUUGAAGCUAACUAUAGGUUUGUGUUUGUUCCAAACAGGACGAUGAAUCAUAUUUUUUCAAGGACGUACGAAAGCAUGAAGGUUUAGCACUGAAAGGGGGCUUAUCUGGUUCUGAGCCAGCCAAGCAAUGACCCCUAUCUCGAAGGAGAUUUCUGCCACGAUUCAAGAUGAUCGUUCUGGCUUGAAACGACAGUGUUUUGAAAAUUCUAGGAAUUAUGCUUUUGGUGUUAGUUGGCAGCCCAUAUUCUUCUCCUUCCUUCCCCUUUGUCUGAAAGCAAAACGGAACAAAGGAUUCAGGACUGAGCUUUGAACUUUGAAGCAUUAUAAUGGCGACGAGAGAGCAAACAAGUCAGAGAGAGAACACAAUCAUCACCAACGUGCUUGCUUAAGGUCAAGGAGAUCAUCAUUGAAGGUAGAGAGCAUAAAUGACACCAUUCUAUGAGCCAACGUCCAAGAAGAAGAAGAAGAAGAAGAAGAAGAAGAAGACCCCCAGGGACCUGAGACGAAGUGGAAUUGAUAAUGAUGCUGGAUGUUCCUGUUCUCGUAUGUCUGGUUUAGCCUUAUUUUAUGAUUUCAAACUAUAUUUCUAUGUGAAUUCAUUAUCUUCAUAAAGUUGGUACCAUUGUGAGAGUGUGUUGGUUCUUCUAUCUUAUCCUCUCAUGCAAAAGGCUGGACAAAUUCAGUAAACAGUAAUGUCGCUGAUCUUCCUAGUGAUAUUGGCCUGCAUGUUUUAACUUUUAAGCCUAAGACCCUAUAUUUUAGUGGAGGAGGAUGCUUUGAUCGACUGGUGAUGGUUUUGAUGGAUCGUUUUUGUCUUCUCUGCGCUACAUCUUCAGGUUUCGGAUGAUGCUUUUAUCGAUGAGAGUGAUGGCUUUGAUGGACACGUUUCUUCUAUGUGCUACUUCUUCAAAGGGUAUUUUGGAAGCAAGCGAUGAUCCAAUCAUCACGUUUCUAAUCCAUGUUAUUGUCUUCAAGCGUUCUCAUGGAUUUGUGGAGGAUGAUCCUGCGAUUGAUCGAUUGUGGAGAAGGAUGCUUUGAUCGGUUGGUGACUGUUUUGAUUGCUUGUAUUUGUCCUCUCUGCGGUACAUCUUCAGGUGGUCUUCUUCCACUUAACCGAUCUUUUCUGUUUCUUUCUAUAUAAAGUGAAAAAAACAUCUCUGUCUCUCUUUGAUGCAGAUCAUGAGGAACUAGGAUUACUGUGUGGGAGGUUCAAAGAGAAAAAACAAACAUUGUGGGAGCGUUUGAUUUCUGAGUUUAACUUUCAGAUCGUGAAGGCACUGGGAGGACUGAUGUGAUAAAAUCUUACCUUUCGUCUUUUUAAAGAUCGUGGAGGGAAGGAUGGUUUGAGAGUAUAUAACUUCGAAUUUCUGGUUACUUCACAUCUAUACUAAUGGCUAUUUUUGGUGAGGUUUUGGAUCGGAUGAUGUCUUUUAUGGGACCAUGCUUUGAUGGAAACGCUUCUUCUCCGCUCUAACGUCUUCAGGGGUUUUGAUGGAAACGCUUCUUCUCCGUGCUAACGUCUUCUUAACGGGUUUUGGUCUUACUCAUAAGUCUUAACACUGGGCUCAUCAGUGACUUUUAUGGGAUCAUCAGUGAUUGGCUUUGAUAAAAACGCUUCUUCUCCGUGCUAUAACGUCUUCAGACUCACAAGUCUUAAUACUGGGCUUGGUUUAAGAAUUCUGAGAAUUGGGCUCUGGUUUUAGUUGGCCCACCAUAAUUCUUUAUUUCUUCUUUUAGGGUCCAUUAGUUGAUGAGACGCUGUCGUUUUGGAGCAUCGUCUCCUUCCAUCCCCCUUGCCUGAAAACAAAACGGAACGGAGGACUUGAGGAGUGAUGACUGAGGAGUGAGGAUCUGAGCUUUCGGUAUUGAUAAGAGGUGGCCGUUGAUUGAUUCAUUUAUUUAACUCUCUCUCUCUCUCUCUCUCGAGGCGUCUCUUGGUUCAGCCACCGCCUACUUCGCCUGGCGCUACAUCUCCGCCGUUGUUCUCUUGGUUCGUCCCCCUUCUUCUUCCUCUUCGGUCCAGUUUCAUGAUUCGAUUUCCUGCCUGGGGUUUUGGAGGAAGAACAUCAGAUGGUUCUGUGUCUCCUCAUGCUUUUUACAACAUUAUACGCCGACGAGGUUGUUGGAGUUUAUGCAAUGUUUCUCCAGCGGGAUCCACAAUUUGUACUUGUGGCACUGCUUAUCCUGCCUUAGGAGAUUUCUUGCUAUAUGGCUCUGGAGCUUGGGAUAAUCAAAGAUCAAACGUUUUGCUGAUUCAAGAGACUGCUCAAGGACGUUAGCCAAGCUUGUGGCCAAUUUGAUAACAACAACGUCUGGUGCAGACCGUGUCCUUGCUUGUCAUCUCCACUCCGAGACAUUCUAUGGACUACUUUGAUUAUGUUUAUGGCCAGUAAUUACCUGCCCAUUUCACUUCAUGUGGUUGGUGUCGCGCGAGGGCUCGUCCCAUAAUCUUUCGCAAUGCUUCAAUUGCUUCAAAGCUUGCUGCUGAUACUCCUCUACUUACUGGGCAGCGUGUCCUUGAUGCCCUUUCUCCUUCUAUUUGUGGUGGAUUUGCGCAAUUCCUGUUGCUUCUGGCUGUGGGAAAAUUGUUAUCAGUCAUGCACUUUCCAAGGUGAUGAACUCAUUUGGUGAUAUUAAAGGGAAAGUAGCUAUAAUGGUGGACAACAUGAUCGACACAGCAGGUGA